Molecule: ribosomal RNA, 253 nt
Filed under: uncultured bacterium
Lineage: Bacteria
Description: partial 16S ribosomal RNA
Rfam family: Bacterial small subunit ribosomal RNA
Source: RNAcentral
UACGUAGGUGACAAGCGUUGUCCGGAUUUACUGGGCGUAAAGAGCGCGCAGGCGGUCGUUCAAGUCGGGUGUGAAAGCCCCCGGCUCAACUGGGGAGGGUCAUUCGAUACUGAUCGACUCGAAGGCAGGAGAGGGAAGUGGAAUUCCCGGUGUAGUGGUGAAAUGCGUAGAUAUCGGGAGGAACACCAGUGGCGAAGGCGACUUCCUGGCCUGUUCUUGACGCUGAGGCGCGAAAGCUAGGGGAGCAAACGGG